This 2720-nucleotide long non-coding RNA is filed under the name Homo sapiens (human). RNAcentral's name for it is "non-protein coding lnc-UNCX-3:23". Lineage: Eukaryota; Metazoa; Chordata; Mammalia; Primates; Hominidae. The record is from RNAcentral.
GCUUCUCGCAGGCGGCGCGCUUGCUGGGUCACAGUGAGGCGGCUCCGCGCAGGCGCAGCCGGGCGGGCGAGGAGCGGGGAAGCUGACUCAGGGCUGCGGCCGGGGUCCUGCGGGGUAGGAGCGCGAGGCCGGCCUGAGGGAGGAGGCCUAGCGACCCAUCCGGCGCCUCCCGCCCCGGGCACCCGCCCGCGGCCGCGCAUCCUGCGGGCCCCAGGAGGCCUCCAUCUCAAAACAACGUGUUUUUAGAGAACUCAAGGGCUGUGAAAAGAGCAGGACCUCACCAGCUGCACGGCGGUGGUGACUGGCUCCAUCUUGCUGUCCCUCCCAAUCACACAACAUCUCCCCUUGAAGGCUCUGCCCAGGCCCGGACUCCCACCUUUCAAGAUGUCUGGAUCAGUGCAGGACCUCCUCCUUGGCCACAUCGCUCUCCUUGGACUGGUUCAAGUGAUUCUCCCACCUCAGCCUCCCAAGUAGGAUUACAGGUACACACCACCACGCACAGCUAAUUGUUUUGUAUUUUAGGAAGAGAUGGGGUUUCAUCAUGUUAGCCAGGCUGGUCAGGUGAUCCAUCCGCCUUGGCCUCCCCAAGUGCUGGGAUUACAGGCGUGAGGCACUGUGCCCGGCCUGCCCCCCUUUUCUCUUGAUGCACAUGACAGCCUUCUUGCAAUCAAGAAACUACGUGUGGCCAGGAUCUCAUCCACUAUCACAGUUUCAGCUUUCCCCAAACUGGAAUGUGUCUUUGCAGACGCCCAUCCUUAUUAAAGGGCAAAGACUUCUCAUACACCUAGGAUGGAUCUUAUAUUCUUGGCGGGACUGCAGAGAAGGUGCCGUGUCCUGAGUCCUCAUGUCAGGGCACAGGCUUCCAGCCAGUUCUACCUGGGUUAUGUUUAUCUCAAUUCCCUGGUGGUAUUGGUGUCUGCUGGGUUUUGCCAGAAUGAAGACACCGUGUUUUCAUUUGUCAGUUGAUUCGUAUUUUCCAGGAAGACAUUCUGAGAUUACAGCAUUGUCUUAGUCAAGGUGCUGCAGAAGGACAGAACUAAUAGGAUAUAUGUACAUAUGAAAGAAAGUUUAUGAAGAACUGGCUCACACCAUCACAAGGCAAAGUCCCAUGACAGGCCAUCUGCAAGCUGAGGAGCGAGGAAGCCAGCAGUGGCUCAGCCGGAGUCCAACAGCCUCAAACGGAAUCCAACAGUUCAGGCUUCAGUCUGUGGCCAAAUGCCCAGAGACCCCGGAAAGCUACUGGUGUUAGUCCCAGAGCCGGAAGGCCAAAGAACCUGGAGUGUGAUGUCCAAGGGCAGGAGGAAUGGACAGAAGCAUCCAGCAUGGGGUAAAGACGAAAGCCAGAAGACUCAGCAAGCUAGCUUACCUACUUUCUUCUGCCUGCCUUGUUCUAGCCGCGCUGGCAGCCGGUUGGAGGGUGCCCACCCCCACUGAGGGUGGAUCUUCCUCUCCUAGUCCACUGACUCAAAUUUCAGUCUCUCUGGGAGCACCAUCACACCAGAAACAAUACCAGCCAUCUAGCCACCCUUCAGUUCACCAUCACAACCAUUGUCUUAUUCAUGAAACUUCUGCAGACCCACCUUAACCUCCAUCGGUGACUUCUACCUGAAGCCCUCUGAUUGUUGCCCAGUGGUGCUUUUUAAAAUAAUUUCCAUAGUUUCUUCUACACCUUUAGUUGGCAUUCUACUGUAAAGGAGAGAUUUUAUUUUCUUACUCAUUUAUUUGUUAGUUUAUAGUCACCACCAUAUGGAUGCAGAGUUCUGUCUCAUUCACUGGGAAGUAUUCUAUUGCAGUCAUGAUUUAUUUUGAUGUUCACAUCCCAGAGUUGGUGAGUGAGCGCCCCUUCACGCUGGCUCCCGAGUGCUGACGUGUCCCCGUCCUUCUCUGCACUUUUCCUUACCUCCUGGCCUCAGAUAUUCCAGGGUCAUUUGUUCUCUCCCUGCUCCAACCCUGCAGUCAGCCAUCUCCCUAGGGACGUUGGUUCCUUUAUGGAAGGUGGCAUUUAGAAGCCAGGAUUUGGGCUGAGCACUGUGGCUCAUGCUUGUAAUCCCAGCACUUGGGGAGGCCGAAGUGGGCGGAUCGCUGGAGGCCAAGAGUCUGAGACCAGCCUGGCUAACAUGGUGAAACCCUUCCCCGUCUCUACUACAAAUAAAAAAUUAGCUGGGUGUGUUGGCACGUGCCUGUAAUCCCAGUUACUCAGGAGGCUGAAGCACCAGAAUCUCUUGAACCCAGGAGGCCGAGGUUGCAGUGAGCCAAGAUUGCACCACUGCACUACAGCUUGGGUGACAGCGCGAGACACCGUCUCAAAAAGGAUAAUAAUUUAAAAAACAGCAGGAUUUGGGUGAGCAGUGCGCUCAUUGCUUCUGGGCUCUCUCGGUGGACAUAGGCUAGGAAUGUAAGAUGUAUGUGCCUGUGUAUAUACACACGUCUGUAGCUAUGUCUAUGUUGCAUACAUGUGUUUUUCCAAAAACCAAAUCCAUAACCAUGCCUUCAGUUUCAGCCCAACACCUCCGGGCUCUUUCUAGCUUUCUACCUUUCAUGAUUGUGAAUACCUUCUCCAGCAGUGAGAAACCUGGCUCCUUUGUCCUCAGUGGAUUUUCUUAUUUGCUCAAUUUUUUUGUUUUUUGUUUUGUUUUUGUUUUUGAGACAGAGUCUUGUUCUGUCACCCAAGCUGGAGUGCAGUGGCAUAAUCUCGGCUUACCGCAACCUCUGCCUCCUGG